This 154-nucleotide ribosomal RNA is filed under the name Sorex araneus (European shrew). RNAcentral describes it as "5.8S ribosomal RNA (ENSSARG00000017072.1)". It matches the Rfam family "5.8S ribosomal RNA". From Rfam's summary of the family: 5.8S ribosomal RNA (5.8S rRNA) is a component of the large subunit of the eukaryotic ribosome. It is transcribed by RNA polymerase I as part of the 45S precursor that also contains 18S and 28S rRNA. Lineage: Eukaryota; Metazoa; Chordata; Mammalia; Eulipotyphla; Soricidae. The record is from RNAcentral.
GACUCUUAGUGGUGAAUCACUCAACUUGUGCACCGAUGAAAAAUGCAGCUAGCUGCGAAAUUAAUGUGAAUUGCAGGACACAUUGAUCAUUGGCACUUUUUUUUAAAUUGAAUCAUCAUGUGGAAAGUUACAAAGCUUUCAGGCUUAAGUCUCA